RNAcentral lists this unclassified non-coding RNA (520 nucleotides) under uncultured Glomus. RNAcentral describes it as "SSU rRNA". It matches the Rfam family "Eukaryotic small subunit ribosomal RNA", at positions 569 to 1093 of the family's 1831-position model. Lineage: Eukaryota; Fungi; Glomeromycota; Glomeromycetes; Glomerales; Glomeraceae. The record is from RNAcentral.
AGCAGCCGCGGUAAUUCCAGCUCCAAUAGCGUAUAUUAAAGUUGCUGCAGUUAAAAAGCUCGUAGUUGAAUUUCGGGACUAAUAUGUCGGUCGUGCCUCGGUACGUACUGGUUUAUUGGUUUCUCCUUUCUGAAGAACCAUGAUGUCAUUCAUUUGGUGUCGUGGGGAAUCAGGACUGUUACUUUGAAAAAAUUAGAAUGUUUAAGCAGGCUCACGCUUGAAUACAUUAGCAUGGAAUAAUGAAAUAGGACGUUUGAUUCUAUUUUGUUGGUUUCUAGGAUCGACGUAAUGAUUAAUAGGGAUAGUUGGGGGCAUUAGUAUUCAAUUGUCAGAGGUGAAAUUCUUGGAUUUAUUGAAGACUAACUACUGCGAAAGCAUUUGCCAAGGAUGUUUUCAUUAAUCAAGAACGAAAGUUAGGAGAUCGAAGACGAUCAGAUACCGUCGUAGUCUUAACCAUAAACUAUGCCGACUAGGGAUCGGAUGAUGUUAAUUUUUUAAUGACUCAUUCGGUGCCUUACGG